UCGUAGGUGGUUUGUCGCGUUGUUCGUGAAAUCUCACGGCUUAACUGUGAGCGUGCGGGCGAUACGGGCAGACUUGAGUACUGCAGGGGAGACUGGAAUUCCUGGUGUAGCGGUGGAAUGCGCAGAUAUCAGGAGGAACACCGGUGGCGAAGGCGGGUCUCUGGGCAGUAACUGACGCUGAGGAGCGAAAGCGUGGGGAGCGAACAGGAUUAGAUACCCUGGUAGUCCACGCCGUAAACGGUGGGUACUAGGUGUGGGUUUCCUUCCUUGGGAUCCGUGCCGUAGCUAACGCAUUAAGUACCCCGCCUGGGGAGUACGGCCGCAAGGCUAAAACUCAAAGAAAUUGACGGGGGCCCGCACAAGCGGCGGAGCAUGUGGAUUAAUUCGAUGCAACGCGAAGAACCUUACCUGGGUUUGACAUGCACAGGACGCCGGCAGAGAUGUCGGUUCCCUUGUGGCCUGUGUGCAGGUGGUGCAUGGCUGUCGUCAGCUCGUGUCGUGAGAUGUUGGGUUAAGUCCCGCAACGAGCGCAACCCUUGUCUCAUGUUGCCAGCGGGUAAUGCCGGGGACUCGUGAGAGACUGCCGGGGUCAACUCGGAGGAAGGUGGGGAUGACGUCAAGUCAUCAUGCCCCUUAUGUCCAGGGCUUCACACAUGCUACAAUGGCCGGUACAAAGGGCUGCGAUGCCGCGAGGUUAAGCGAAUCCUUUUAAAGCCGGUCUCAGUUCGGAUCGGGGUCUGCACUCGACCCCGUGAAGUCGGAGUCGCUAGUAAUCGCAGAUC
This 782-nucleotide ribosomal RNA is filed under the name uncultured bacterium. Its description in RNAcentral is "bacterial SSU rRNA". It matches the Rfam family "Bacterial small subunit ribosomal RNA", at positions 569 to 1350 of the family's 1533-position model. The record is from RNAcentral.